RNAcentral lists this ribosomal RNA (298 nucleotides) under uncultured bacterium. RNAcentral describes it as "partial 16S ribosomal RNA". It matches the Rfam family "Bacterial small subunit ribosomal RNA", at positions 341 to 653 of the family's 1533-position model. The record is from RNAcentral.
ACGGGAGGCAGCAGUGGGGAAUAUUGCACAAUGGGGGAAACCCUGAUGCAGCGACGCCGCGUGAGUGAAGAAGUAUUUCGGUAUGUAAAGCUCUAUCAGCAGGGAAGAAAACAAUGACGGUACCUGACUAAGAAGCCCCGGCUAACUACGUGCCAGCAGCCGCGGUAAUACGUAGGGGGCAAGCGUUAUCCGGAUUUACUGGGUGUAAAGGGAGCGUAGACGGUAGACCAAGUCUGAAGUGAAAGCCCGGGGCUCAACCCCGGAACUGCUUUGGAAACUGGUAAACUAGAGUGCAGGA